RNAcentral lists this ribosomal RNA (170 nucleotides) under uncultured bacterium. Its description in RNAcentral is "partial 16S ribosomal RNA". It matches the Rfam family "Bacterial small subunit ribosomal RNA", at positions 337 to 524 of the family's 1533-position model. The record is from RNAcentral.
UCCUACGGGAGGCAGCAGUGGGGAAUAUUGCACAAUGGGGGAAACCCUGAUGCAGCAACGCCGCGUGGAGGAUGACGCAUUUCGGUGUGUAAACUCCUUUUAUAAGGGAAGAUAAUGACGGUACCUUAUGAAUAAGCACCGGCUAACUCCGUGCCAGCAGCCGCGGUAAU